GAUGAACGCUAGCUACAGGCUUAACACAUGCAAGUCGAGGGGAAACGACAUCGAAAGCUUGCUUUUGAUGGGCGUCGACCGGCGCACGGGUGAGUAACGCGUAUCCAACCUGCCCACCACUUGGGGAUAACCUUGCGAAAGUAAGACUAAUACCCAAUGACGUCUCUAGAAGACAUCUGAAAGAGAUUAAAGAUUUAUCGGUGAUGGAUGGGGAUGCGUCUGAUUAGCUUGUUGGCGGGGUAACGGCCCACCAAGGCGACGAUCAGUAGGGGUUCUGAGAGUAAGGUCCCCCACAUUGGAACUGAGACACGGUCCAAACUCCUACGGGAGGCAGCAGUGAGGAAUAUUGGUCAAUGGACGAGAGUCUGAACCAGCCAAGUAGCGUGCAGGAUGACGGCCCUAUGGGUUGUAAACUGCUUUUAUAAGGGAAUAAAGUGAGUCUCGUGAGACUUUUUGCAUGUACCUUAUGAAUAAGGACCGGCUAAUUCCGUG
Molecule: ribosomal RNA, 492 nt
Filed under: uncultured bacterium
Lineage: Bacteria
Description: partial 16S ribosomal RNA
Rfam family: Bacterial small subunit ribosomal RNA
Source: RNAcentral